CCAACGAGAGUUCGCCAAGUCGCACCGUGCCAGUCCGUGCGUGUACUUUGCCUAAUAAUAUUUCCUCACGGCGAGGAGAGCGCACGGCGAGUAACGCGCACGGGGUUCCAAAAGAACAAGAGAGAAAGAACGAAGGAGAUAGAUAGAGAGAUAGAGAGAGAGAGAGAGAAAGAGAAAGAAAGAGAGAGAUAGAUAGAGAGAGAUAGAGAGAGAGAGAGAAAGAAAGAGAGUUAGAGAUAGAAAUAGAUAGAUAGAGGUCAGAGUGUGCGUUCACUUUUCUCUCUCGUAUAUUCUCUCUGGGAAACUUAACAACUCUACGUCCUUCCAUAUUACCAACGUUUUACUUCACUUAUUUAAACGCGAAAAUAAGGUGACCCGAUCAGAAGGACACGUGCGUUCCUAUCGUGCGGAUCCUCCGUCGCGCUACGAUCCUUUCCGGAACUUUUCGAACGUACGAACGAGAGAAAGAAAGAAAGAAAGAAAGAGAGAGAGAGAAAGAAAGAGGGUUUCUGUUUUGGAUUAUAUCUACUCGCCCGUGAGGGGUAACGAACGUGGAGUUUAGAAAAAAGGGGCGGAGAAGGAGAUCGAGCGUGUAAACGAUCAGCUUAUAUCGUUAUUGAUAUCUAUCUUUCGUGAGAAGUUAAAUACAUAGAAGAAGAGAGAGGAGAAAGAGAGAAAGAGAGAGAAAGAGAGAAAGAGAAAAAAAGAAAAAAAAACGAGAAAGAGAGAGAGAGAGAGAGAAAGAGAGAAACGUUGAUUCGAUAGAUAACAUCGAGGAUUGUGCGCGUAAAUUUUUGUUUUUUUUUUUCGUUUGACAUUAUUAUCGACAUUCUCGUGAACUCGACAUUUAAUCAAAGACCCUACGACGAUAACGACGACGACGAUUAGUAAUUGAUAAUAAUCAGUGUAAUCGCGUGUGUAUACUGUAUGGAAGAAGAUACUGUGACAACACGAUUGGCAAAGGAUAGAUCAUCGUAGAUCAUCGUGUUAGAAGAAUAAUAUAACUUCGGAGAUAACGAAGAAGAAGGGAAGAAAAAAUAUCCAGGGAUAGCUAAUUACAUACAAGGAGUCGUUUUAACUCGACUGCCCGAAGAGAAACAUCCAGAGAGGAGUGUAAGAAGAAGAAGAAGAAGAAGAAGAAGACACCGUCGGCCGUCGGCAGAAAGAAAAAAGAAAAAGAGAACGAGAGACGAUCGAACGAGAGAGGCCGAACGAGUGAAGAGAAAGAAAGAGAGAGAGAGAGAGAGAGAGAGAGAGAGUGAUAUCUUGUGACCGGUAGCGUGCCAAAGGCCCGAAGAUUCUGCCUUCGCAGCAGCUCGGCGCUGCGGUCGCUCCAUGGCCGGGCGCCACCGGCCUCCUCGCCUCCGUCACCGCUGACGAUAUGGCACAUAAAGGUCACAGCGGAGUGAACCAAUUGGGUGGCGUCUUCGUCGGUGGUAGACCGCUUCCGGAUUCGACGAGACAAAAGAUCGUCGAAUUAGCUCAUUCGGGGGCACGUCCUUGCGACAUCUCAAGAAUCCUGCAGGUCAGCAAUGGCUGCGUUUCGAAGAUCCUUGGCAGCAGGUACUAUGAGACCGGAUCCAUAAGGCCAAGGGCCAUUGGCGGCAGUAAGCCGCGAGUGGCCACGGCGGAAGUCGUCAGCAAGAUCUCACUUUAUAAAAGCGAGUGCCCGUCGAUCUUUGCUUGGGAGAUCAGAGAUCGUUUACUUCAGGAGGGCGUGUGCACGAACGACAACAUUCCAAGCGUUUCGUCCAUCAACAGGGUAUUGAGGAACUUGGCGGCACAGAAGGAACAAAGACAACAACAGCAGCAACAGCAACAGGGUGUAGGGGCAGUUGGAGUUGGCAUCGGCGUAGGUGUUGGCGCUGGUAGUCCUGCCGAGAGCGUUUACGACAAGCUCAGGCUACUGAACGGACAGACCACUGGCUGGUCAAGACCCAAUCCCUGGUAUCCGUCGGGUGCGGGAAGCCCUUUCUCGAGUCUUCAGCCUAGUCUGAGUCCGAGCCAUUGCACGGCGCUACCGCCUGAUCCCGCUGAUAUUCUCCACGCCAAAAAGGUGGCUGAACUCGAAGGAGGCGCUCACUCGGACGAGACCAACAGCGGUGGUGACAACAGUAACGCUGGCAGUGUAUCUGGUGGUGCAGACGAUGAUCAAGCACGUUUACGACUUAAGAGAAAGCUUCAGAGGAAUCGUACGAGCUUCAGCAACGAGCAAAUCGAUGCACUCGAGAAGGAAUUCGAGAGGACGCAUUAUCCGGAUGUAUUUGCAAGAGAACGACUGGCUGGGAAGAUUGGCCUACCGGAAGCUCGAAUACAGGUAUGGUUUUCGAAUCGGCGGGCAAAGUGGAGACGAGAGGAGAAGUUGCGUACGCAACGGAGGGACAACCCGCAGCAGCAGCAACAACAGCAACAACAGCAACAGCAACAACAGCAACAACAGCAACAACAGCAGCAGCAACAACAGCCACAGCCUCAGCAACAACAGCAACAAUCUCAUACGGGAGGUGUUAGUCUUGUGGGUGCUGGUCAUCCUACGCCACCUCCUCCGACUGGUAUUCUUGGUGGACAGGCACCACCGCAGGCACCACCGUCACCACCGAGAAUACAUCAUGGAUUUGCACCAACCGCUGUUUAUCCAGGAAUACCUAGCAUGCCGGACUCUUACAGUCCAAUGACAUCAAUGCCAAGCUUCACGAUGUCAGGUGGCAGCCAACAGAAUCAACAUACGACGAGCAGCAUGUCUUCGCUGUCAGGCUCCCUUUCGGGUUCGUUAUCAGGCUCGCUAUCGGGAGGUGGCAUGGGCCCAAUGGGUAUGACGGUUGGUAUGACCGUUGGCCCUAGUCCAGGCGCGUGCCUUCAACAACGUGACAAUGGUUACUCUUGUGGCGUGGCACGACCACCAAGCUACGAACCGCUUCAUUUGGGAUACGGUGCGAGGCCAACCUGCAGUCCGACCCAGCCUUACCACACCGCGGGCCUUAAUCAGUACAAUCAGAACGCCAGCUCGACCGGUGAGUGUCUACCGCACUCACUGCACUCGCUGCUUGCGCUUUAGCCGAUGGACUACUACUAUGGCUACCACGGAUAACACGCUAUCGAGCCUGCCGGUCUGAUAUCACCGGGAGUAAGCGUACCCAUCGCAGUGCCAGGCCAACCAGCACCUGACAUGGCGGCGCAAUAUUGGUCACCGAGGCUACAGUGACCGUGGUGGUCCUCGACGUCGACCUCGUCCUCCUAGGCACGAGUUUCUUCGUCCUCGAUCAGAACCAGAAUAUGAUCGUCGUCGGUUUUAGGACCACCAAGAGAUUCAUUGAAAGGGAAGGAAGGAAAGAAAAGAAAAGAAAAGAAAAACGGAUGAACAAAGGACUUUCAAUCAUGUUUCUUAUCAAAAACGAUGAGGAGGGACAAGUGUGCGAAGAAUUCGAGUUUUCCAAACGUUUCUUCUUUUUUUUUUCUUGUACCCUUUUUUUGUUAUGUUUUUUCUUUUCUUUUUUUUUUCUUUUAGAUUCGACGACGACAAUGAUAACACGACGAUGAAACAGAGAAGAGAUAGAUAGUCGAAAACGACAUCCUCGAGAUCGUUGUGUCGUCGUGAAAAAGGAAAAAAAAAAUUAGGAAAAUGCAAGCACCACAAAAUGCAUUAAUAAUAAAAUUUCGAUUCAAGGAGAAAUCCAAGAAAAGUUUUCUUCGGUAUUUAAUCGUAAUCGGUAGGAAGAGAAUUCGACGUUUUCGAAUAAACUUUAAACUAGCAUACUAUGGUAGUGCAUUUAGCAUAUUAAACGAGAUUGCAUUUUCGGUAUGCUUUAUGUUGUAAUUAGAAAUCACGACUUAACUCUACUUUCACGUAGAAUUAUAUUACUAUGUGAAUUAUAAAGUGUAGUAUUUUUUUAAGUACUAUGUUAAAUAUAAAUCAUAGUAUUUGAGAAAUACUAUGUGAAAUAUGAGCUAUAGUAUUUUUUUUUUUUUAAGUACAACGUUAAAUAUAAAUCAUAGUGUUUAUAAAAUACUAUGUGUAACAUGAGCUGUAGUAUUAUUUCAAAAGUACUAUGAGAAGUAUAAACUAUAGUAUUUGAGAAAUACUAUGUUGAAAUAUAAACUGUAGUAUUUCUUUUUUUUUUAAAUACUAUGUGAAAUAUAAACUAUAGUAUUUUAUAAGUACUAUAAUUUAGUUAGUACUCUAGUACUAUAAUUUAAUAAAUUAAACAUAAUACUCUAUAAACCAUAGUUUAUGUAAUGCAUAUGUCAUAUCAUACAUAAAUGAAAACGUCAAGGAUUAAGUCGAGUCCUUUUUCUUUCUAUCGUCGAAAACUCACCACCGGCUGCGAAUUUUACUCUCGAACACGCGUCACAUCAUUACGAUAAUGAACUUCAGUGGUUUUUGUAUUUUCUUUUUUGUUUUAUUUUUUGUUUUCUGUUUUUUCUUUUUCCUCCCCGUGGAACGUGUAAUUUUUAUCUUCUGGGUGUACGUGCGAUAGUUAAAAAUUGUAAUAUUACGCCCGAGUGGCGUCAGUUGGUACAAACCAGAGGUUAAUUAUUGAAGAAGAAAAAAAAAAUUAUAAAUAUAUAUAUAUAUAAAUAUAUAAAUAUAUAAAUAUAUCAUAGCGAUGACAAUUGAUAAUUAUGUUUACUACGUAGUAGUUGAUAAAAGAAAAAGGUAAAAAAAAAAAAAAAGAAAAAAAGAAAAGCGAGGGCGAGGAAUGAAAAAAGAAAAAAAAUCAGCUGAGCUUAAACACGUUUUUGUGUGUCUGUUCUACGUGUGUGUUCUUCUUUUUCUUUUUAUCGUUGUACGUUGUCACACUAUAAGAAAUACGAACUAUGCAAACCACAUACAUAUACAUAUACAUAUACAUAUACAUAUACAUAACAUCAUUUUCGUCGGAAAUAAAUUCAGAAAUAAAGCGAGAUACGCCAUUAACGAUACGCCAUAACUGAUAUGCCAUAGCGUGCUAUAUCGUUUAAUCUUACGCGAACUUUACACACACUUUUUGCUUGUAUACUCUAUUACUACUACUUGCUACUUAUAUUACAUACAUACAUACAAAUACACACAUACGUACACAUUUUCACAUAACAUUGAGUGACAUACGCUUAUCUCGGGCUAAAUAUUUGACAGACGAUCGUUGCUUCUAUUUAAACUGCCUUUUACGUGUUCAUAAAUAGGAAAAAAAAAAGAAAAAAAAAAUCAACAGAACACGAAAUCGGCUCUCAUACCCGAUAUCGAAAAUAACGCACAGAACUAUUUAAAAGAAAGAAAAACGAAAAAAAAAGGGAAAAAAAGAAUAAAAAAUCUCUACUUACUUAAAAUCGCGAUAGAGAAGGAAGUUUAAGCGAGAGAAAGAAAGAGAAAAGGGCAAUGUAGUCAGACCUAUCGAGUAUCGACAGUGUGCAUUAUGCAAUCUUCUUUGUAAAAUAAUUUAGUAAAGAGAGUAUGCGAGCGAGCGAGUUAGAGAGAGAGAGAGAGAGAGAGAGAGAGAGAGAGAGAGAGAGAGAGAGAGAGAGAGAGAGAGAGAGAGAAAUAUGUAAAUCGAUCGAAGAAAUUUCAUCGUGACAAAAUGAUGUGAUCUUGUAAAGAUAUUUUCGUCAUCGCGUCUCGUAAAUUUCUUUAGUGCGAAUAAAAAUGUUAGACGAAAUAAACGAAGGAAGCAAAAAAAAAAAAGAAAAAAAAGCAAACAAAAGAAAAGAAAACGAAAACGAAAACAAAAAAAAAUAAAACAUUAUAAAGACACAGGAAAAUAAAGUAAUAGUUUCUAAGUCGACACAUUACCGCUAUUAUUUAUAUUCAUGUAACGAACGAGAGAAGCCGAAAAUGACGAUGACGAUGACGAUGACGAUGACGAUGACAAAGACGAUGACGAUGACGAUGACGACAACGAUGACGAACGUUUAUUAUGUACGUGUACACAGUGUAAGAAUAUCGGUCAGUCAUUUAUAUACAUAUACAUAUAGUUGAAUCCUAAUUCUAGAAGCGAUAAUUGAUAAUGUCGAUUCGUAAUUUAUAUUCCGGUGCAAGAUCGAUCGAGUAAACAAAAUGAAUGAAAAAAAAAAGUUAUAUAUAUAUUAAUAAUAAUAAUAAUAAUUAAUAAUAAUUAAUAAUGAUAAUUAAUAAUAAUAAUUAAUAACAAGUAAUAAUAAUAAUAAUAGUAAUAAUAAUAAUAAUGGUAAUAAUAAUAAUAAUAAUAAUAAUAAUAAUAAUAAUAAUAAUAAUAAUAAUAAUGGUAAAGAAAAAAAAUGAGAAAAACCGAGCGAAUGUGAUUCCCUUAGGUCAGGUAUGUUAAACGUACGAUUAUGCAUUCUAAAUAAAUAGUGUGUGCAUUUAAUUAAUGAGAGAAUUCUUGAUAAAUAAUAUACAUACACGAAUUCGUAA
Molecule: RNA transcript, 6364 nt
Organism: Vespula vulgaris
Lineage: Eukaryota; Metazoa; Arthropoda; Insecta; Hymenoptera; Vespidae
Gene name: paired box protein Pax-6-like
Exons: 10
Source: RefSeq, a predicted model, not a curated record